Molecule: long non-coding RNA, 947 nt
Organism: Mesocricetus auratus (golden hamster)
Lineage: Eukaryota; Metazoa; Chordata; Mammalia; Rodentia; Cricetidae
Exons: 2
Source: RefSeq, a predicted model, not a curated record
GGCCAGUCUGGUCUACAAGAGCUAGUUCCAGGACAGGUUACAAAACCAUAGAGAAACCCUGUCUCAAAUAAAAAAAAAGAAGAGAACAGCUUCUGGAAAGAAGAGAACUCUUCUGGAAAGUGUUUCCUGAGAGCACACAGGAACUAUGUUGUGGAGGUUGCGAAGGUUGUACCUUGUGCUAGCAGCCAAACUUGGCAGUGUAAGGGUCACCCAGGUGGUACUGGUUUUGAAGGCAUGAAGGGGUCAUGGAGAGCAGCUGAGGCUUCACACUGUGAGAGGCCAGGAGAGCCCAUUGGUGAAGGUGCAACCUCAGCCACAGUUGAAGGCCCAGGAUUGAAAGGGUCAUGCUGAGAAGCUGAGGCUUGGCACCAUGAAGAGAGGUUACUAGUGAGAGUGCAGCCCAGUUGCAGCAGAAGACCCUAGUGUUUUGGAGAUGCCAGUACCACGGGGUGACCACCAAGAGUAGCAGUGGAAUGGAGUCGGCAGACAAGCUGUGUGUGCUGCAGAAGACGGAGCCAGAGAAGUGACCCAACCCCAUUGGAGGAGCCCAGAAGAUUGAAUACAACAUUAGCUCAAUAAUAGCAGCAAUAACCACCCCCCAAAGAAGACCUUCAAAAGAACAAAAAACAAAACAACCAACUAGAUUUUUCCUUCAUACCAUGGGGAGUGGAUACCUGUUUCCUUUGAAUUGAAACAUUCCUUCUUGGAAGGAAAAGGAGACUUUGAGGACUCAGAGAGGUCAUGAAAUUUGGAAGACUCCUGAGGUACUCCCUAGGGUCAUGUAGGCAGUGAACAAUUGCUAAAGAGACCAUUUUCUGAUGGAGCCAGCAAGUUGUGCAGGGACUCCUGUGAUGCAACUGUUGUUCUGUAAUGGGUUUUGAUGAUGCAGCUGCCUUUCCAGCACAUGCUUCUGCAGGAAACCCUAAUUAAAUUGGUUCACCAACCUA